CAGGAUUAACGCUGGCGGCGUGCAUGAGACAUGCAAGUCGAACGGACGAGCAGGGCUUGCUCUGCUCGUUAGUGGCGGACGGCUGAGUAACGCGUAGGUGACCUGCCCCGAAGUGGGGAAUAACUGCCCGAAAGGGUGGCUAAUACCGCAUGUGGCGACUGGUUCGUUCCAGUCUCCAAAGCCGCAAGGCGCUUCGGGAGGGGCCUGCGUCCGAUUAGCUCGUUGGUGGGGUAACGGCUCACCAAGGCGACGAUCGGUAGGUGGUCUGAGAGGACGAUCACCCAGACUGGGACUGAGACACGGCCCAGACUCCUACGGGAGGCAGCAGUCGGGAAUUUUGCUCAAUGGGCGAAAGCCCUGAAGCAGCAACGCCGCGUGAGGGAUGACGGCCUUCGGGUUGUAAACCUCUUUUCUCAGGGACGAUAAUGACGGUACCUGAGGAAUAAGCCACGGCUAACUACGUGCCAGCCGCCGC
RNAcentral lists this ribosomal RNA (475 nucleotides) under uncultured bacterium. RNAcentral describes it as "bacterial SSU rRNA". It matches the Rfam family "Bacterial small subunit ribosomal RNA", at positions 25 to 518 of the family's 1533-position model. The record is from RNAcentral.